CAAUAGCGUAUAUUAAAGUUGUUGCAGUUAAAAAGCUCGUAGUUGGAUUUCGGAGCCGACCGGGCGGUCUGUCGAGAGACACGCACUGCUCGGUGGCUCUUCCUCUCGGAGGCCCUGGCUGCCCUUAACUGGAGCGGGCAGGGGAUUCGGGACGUUUACUUUGAAAAAAUUAGAGUGUUCAAAGCAGGCCGGGGCUUGGAUACAUUAGCAUGGAAUAAUGGAAUAGGGCUUGGGUCCUAUUUUGUUGGUUUUCGGGACCGAGGUCAUGGUUAAGAGGGACAGUUGGGGGCAUUCGUAUUCAAUUGUCAGAGGUGAAAUUCUUGGAUUUAUGGAAGACGAACAACUGCGAAAGCAUUUGCCAAGGAUGUUUUCAUUAA
RNAcentral lists this ribosomal RNA (377 nucleotides) under uncultured eukaryote. Its description in RNAcentral is "partial 18S ribosomal RNA". It matches the Rfam family "Eukaryotic small subunit ribosomal RNA", at positions 592 to 976 of the family's 1831-position model. The record is from RNAcentral.